This 478-nucleotide ribosomal RNA is filed under the name uncultured bacterium. Its description in RNAcentral is "partial 16S ribosomal RNA". It matches the Rfam family "Bacterial small subunit ribosomal RNA", at positions 29 to 507 of the family's 1533-position model. The record is from RNAcentral.
AUGCACGCUAGCGGGAGGCUUCACCCAUGCAAGCCGAGGGGUAUAGUUCUUUCGGGAACUAGAGACCGGCGCACGGGUGCGUAACGCGUAUGCAACUUGCCCUACUGAAAAGGAUAGCCCUUCGAAAGGAGGAUUAAUACUUUAUAACAGAUUUAAUGGCAUCAUUAGAUUUUGAAAGAUUUAUCGCAGUAGGAUAGGCAUGCGUAAGAUUAGUUAGUUGGUGAGGUAACGGCUCACCAAGACGAUGAUCUUUAGGGGGCCUGAGAGGGUGAACCCCCACACUGGUACUGAGACACGGACCAGACUCCUACGGGAGGCAGCAGUGAGGAAUAUUGGACAAUGGGUGGAAGCCUGAUCCAGCCAUCCCGCGUGUAGGAUGACGGCCUUAUGGGUUGUAAACUACUUUUAUCUGGGGAUAAACCUACUUACGUGUAAGUAGCUGAAGGUACCAGAAGAAUAAGCACCGGCUAACUCCGUG